GUCGUCAGCUCGUGUCGUGAGAUUGUUCGGGUUAACGUCCCGCAACGAGCGCUAACCCUAUUGUUAGUUGCCAUCAUUCAGUUGGGCACUCUAGCGAGACUGCCGGUAAUAAACCGGAGGAAGGUCGGGGAUGACGUCAAAUCAUCAUGCCCCUUAUGACCUGGGCUACACACGUGCUACAAUGGUUGGUACAACGAGUUGCGAGUCGGUGACGGCGAGCUAAUCUCUUAAAGCCAAUCUCAGUUCGGAUUGUAGGCUGCAACUCGCCUACAUGAAGUCGGAAUCGCUAGUAAUCGCGGAUCAGCACGCCGCGGUGAAUACGUUCCCGGGCCUU
RNAcentral lists this ribosomal RNA (334 nucleotides) under uncultured Streptococcus sp. RNAcentral describes it as "bacterial SSU rRNA". It matches the Rfam family "Bacterial small subunit ribosomal RNA", at positions 1051 to 1382 of the family's 1533-position model. Lineage: Bacteria; Bacillati; Bacillota; Bacilli; Lactobacillales; Streptococcaceae. The record is from RNAcentral.